Molecule: ribosomal RNA, 305 nt
Filed under: uncultured bacterium
Lineage: Bacteria
Description: bacterial SSU rRNA
Rfam family: Bacterial small subunit ribosomal RNA
Source: RNAcentral
GAUCCUACGGGAGGCAGCAGUGGGGAAUAUUGGACAAUGGGGGGAACCCUGAUCCAGCGACGCCGCGUGAGUGAAGAAGUAUUUCGGUAUGUAAAGCUCUAUCAGCAGGGAAGGACGGUCACUGUGCUAAUCAGCAGUGAAUUGACGGUACCUGCAAAGGAAGCACCGGCUAACUCCGUGCCAGCAGCCGCGGUAAUACGGAGGGUGCGAGCGUUAAUCGGAGUUACUGGGCGUAAAGCGCUCGUAGGCGGUAUGUCAAGUCAAGGGUGAAAUCCCCGCGCUCAACGUGGGAACUGCCUUUGAAA